RNAcentral lists this ribosomal RNA (510 nucleotides) under uncultured bacterium. RNAcentral describes it as "partial 16S ribosomal RNA". It matches the Rfam family "Bacterial small subunit ribosomal RNA", at positions 28 to 507 of the family's 1533-position model. The record is from RNAcentral.
GACGAACGCUGGCGGCGUGCUUAACACAUGCAAGUCGAACGAAGAGCGAUGGAAGCUUGCUUCUAUCACUCUUAGUGGCGAACGGGUGAGUAACGCGUAAUCAACCUGCCCUUCAGAGGGGGACAACAGUUGGAAACGACUGCUAAUACCGCAUACGAUCUAAUCUCGGCAUCGAGGAAAGAUGAAAGGUGGCCUCUAUUUAUAAGCUAUCACUGAAGGAGGGGAUUGCGUCUGAUUAGCUAGUUGGAGGGGUAACGGCCCACCAAGGCGAUGAUCAGUAGCCGGUCUGAGAGGAUGAACGGCCACAUUGGGACGGAGACACGGCCCAGACUCCUACGGGAGGCAGCAGUGGGGAAUCUUCCGCAAUGGACGAAAGUCUGACGGAGCAACGCCGCGUGAGUGAUGACGGCCUUCGGGUUGUAAAGCUCUGUUAAUCGGGACGAAAGGCCUUCUUGCGAACAGUUAGAAGGAUUGACGGUACCGGAAUAGAAAGCCACGGCUAACUACGUG